AUGAGAAAAGGCAGCCGUGUUGGCACAAGCAAAAAUGUAGCCAUUGUGAUAGCCAAGGAAGAGAGCCUAUGGCAAAGCCUGUUUGUGUUCUUUCUUGGUACAUGCGUGUGUGUGUUCCUGAGUUCCACCAUUGUGCGUCUGUGUGUAUGUGUUCUUGAAAAAAACCACAAGAGAGUUGAGAGAGGAGGAAGAAGAGAGGCGUUGCAAGGAGGCGGGGCCAACAUGACUGUGGCCAUCUUUGGUAGGAGAAAUGAAAAUGUUGUCCAACUACCUUUGGUGAAGUUGAAGGCAGUAUAUACCUAUCUGGAGCAAUUAUAUACAUGA
This 324-nucleotide ribosomal RNA is filed under the name Triticum aestivum (bread wheat). Its description in RNAcentral is "partial small subunit ribosomal RNA". Lineage: Eukaryota; Viridiplantae; Streptophyta; Magnoliopsida; Poales; Poaceae. The record is from RNAcentral.